CCUACGGGCGGCAGCAGUGGGGAAUAUUGGUCAAUGGACGAGAGUCUGAACCAGCCAAGUAGCGUGAAGGAUGACUGCCCUAUGGGUUGUAAACUUCUUUUAUAUGGGAAUAAAAUGUUCCACGUGUGGGCUUUUGUAUGUACCAUAUGAAUAAGGAUCGGCUAACUCCGUGCCAGCAGCCGCGGUAAUACGGAGGAUCCGAGCGUUAUCCGGAGUUAUUGGGUUUAAAGGGAGCGUAGGUGGGUGGUUAAGUCAGUUGUGAAAGUUUGCGGCUCAACCGUAAAAUUGCAGUUGAAACUGGCAGUCUUGAGUACAGUAGAGGUGGGCGGAAUUCGUGGUGUAGCGGUGAAAUGCUUAGAUAUCACGAAGAACUCCGAUUGCGAAGGCAGCUCACUGGACUGCAACUGACACUGAGGCUCGAAAGUGUGGGUAUCAAACAGGAUUAGAUACCCUUGUAGUC
RNAcentral lists this ribosomal RNA (460 nucleotides) under uncultured bacterium. RNAcentral describes it as "partial 16S ribosomal RNA". It matches the Rfam family "Bacterial small subunit ribosomal RNA", at positions 338 to 795 of the family's 1533-position model. The record is from RNAcentral.